GAUGAACGCUGACAGAAUGCUUAACACAUGCAAGUCUACUUGAUUCUACUUCGGUAGUCGAUGGUGGCGGACGGGUGAGUAACGCGUAAAGAAUCUGCCCUUUAGUUUGGGAUAACCUUUGGAAACGAAGGCUAAUACCGGAUAUUAUGGAGACGUCGCAUGACGACUCCAUGAAAGCUAUAUGCGCUAGAGGAGGACUUUGCGUCCCAUUAGUUAGUUGGUGAGGUAAUGGCUCACCAAGACCGCGAUGGGUAGCCGGCCUGAGAGGGUGAUCGGCCACAAGGGAACUGAGACACGGUCCUUACUCCUACGGGAGGCAGCAGUGGGGAAUAUUGGACAAUGGGCCACAAGCCUGAUCCAGCAAUUCUGUGUGCACGAUGAAGGUCUUCGGAUUGUAAAGUGCUUUCAGUAGGGAAGAAAAAAAUGACGGUACCUACAGAAGAAGCGACGGCUAAAUAUGUGCCAGCAGCCGCGGUAA
RNAcentral lists this ribosomal RNA (478 nucleotides) under uncultured bacterium. RNAcentral describes it as "partial 16S ribosomal RNA". It matches the Rfam family "Bacterial small subunit ribosomal RNA", at positions 28 to 523 of the family's 1533-position model. The record is from RNAcentral.